This 253-nucleotide ribosomal RNA is filed under the name uncultured bacterium. RNAcentral describes it as "partial 16S ribosomal RNA". It matches the Rfam family "Bacterial small subunit ribosomal RNA", at positions 524 to 776 of the family's 1533-position model. The record is from RNAcentral.
UACGAAGGGGGCUAGCGUUGCUCGGAUUUACUGGGCGUAAAGGGCGCGUAGGCGGAUGUUUAAGUCGGGGGUGAAAGCCCGGGGCUCAACCUCGGAAUUGCCUUCGAUACUGGACAUCUUGAGUACGGGAGAGGUGAGUGGAACUCCGAGUGUAGAGUUGAAAUUCGUAGAUAUUCGGAAGAACACCAGUGGCGAAGGCGACUCACUGGCCCGUUACUGACGCUGAGGCGCGAAAGCGUGGGGAGCAAACAGG